UACGUAGGAUGCAAGCGUUGUCCGGGAUUAUUGGGCGUAAAGAGCGCGCAGGCGGUCUGCCCAGUCAGAUGUGAAAGAGGCCGGCUUAACCGGCAAGGGUCAUUUGAAACUGACAGACUAGAGUGCAGCAGAGGAUAGCGGAAUUCCCGGUGUAGUGGUGAAAUGCGUAGAUAUCGGGAAGAACACCCGUGGCGAAGGCGGCUCUCUGGGACGGUACUGACGCUGAGACGCGAAAGCGUGGGGAGCGAACAGG
RNAcentral lists this ribosomal RNA (253 nucleotides) under uncultured bacterium. RNAcentral describes it as "partial 16S ribosomal RNA". It matches the Rfam family "Bacterial small subunit ribosomal RNA", at positions 524 to 776 of the family's 1533-position model. The record is from RNAcentral.